AGAGCGAACGCUGGCGGCAGGCUUAACACAUGCAAGUCGAGCGGGCGUAGCAAUACGUCAGCGGCAGACGGGUGAGUAACGCGUGGGAACAUACCUUUGGUUCGGAACAACCCAGGGAAACUUGGGCUAAUACCGGAUAAGCCCUUACGGGGAAAGAUUUAUCGCCGAAAGAUUGGCCCGCGUCUGAUUAGCUAGUUGGUGAGGUAACGGCUCACCAAGGCGACGAUCAGUAGCUGGUCUGAGAGGAUGAUCAGCCACAUUGGGACUGAGACACGGCCCAAACUCCUACGGGAGGCAGCAGUGGGGAAUAUUGGACAAUGGGCGCAAGCCUGAUCCAGCCAUGCCGCGUGAGUGAUGAAGGCCCUAGGGUUGUAAAGCUCUUUUGUGCGGGAAGAUAAUGACGGUACCGCAAGAAUAAGCCCCGGCUAACUUCGUGCCAGCAGCCGC
RNAcentral lists this ribosomal RNA (447 nucleotides) under uncultured bacterium. RNAcentral's name for it is "SSU rRNA". It matches the Rfam family "Bacterial small subunit ribosomal RNA", at positions 26 to 518 of the family's 1533-position model. The record is from RNAcentral.